UCCGUCAGAGCACUUUUUUGUGUGAUGGCGUGCCUUUUGAAGAAUGAGCCUGCGAGUCAGCGGCAUGUCGCGAGGUUAACCCGUGUGGGGUAGCCGUAGGGAAACCGAAUCCUAAUGGGGUGGUUAGUGGCAUGUCCUGGACCCGAAGCGGGGUGAUCUACCCAUGGCCAGUGUGAAGCAGCUGUAAGAGGUUGUGGAGGCGCGAACCCACGUAGGUUAAAAACUGCGGGGAUGAGCUGUGGGUAGGGGUGAAAGGCCAAUCAAACUCCGUGAUAGCUGGUUCUCCCCGAAAUGCAUUUAGGUGCAGCGUCGUAUUAUAGCUUGGUGGAGGUAGAGCGACUGGUUGGUUGAGCGGGACUACAAUCUUAGCAAUGUCAGCCAAACUCCGAAUGCCAUCAAUUGUGUUGUGCGGCAGUGAGACUGUGGGGGAUAAGCUUCAUAGUCGAGAGGGAAACAGCCCAGAUCGCCGGCUAAGGCCCCUAAGCGUGUACUAAGUGGAAAAGGAUGUGGGAUCGCUUAGACAACCAGGAGGUUGGCUCAGAAGCAGCCACCCUUGAAAGAGUGCGUAAUAGCUCACUGGUCAAGUGGUCCUGCGCCGACAAUGUAGUGGGGCUCAAGUACACCGCCGAAGCCGCGGCAUUCCUUUUUGGGAUGGGUAGGGGAGCGUCGUGUAUCCGUUGAAGCUGCAGAGUGAUCUAGUGGUGGAGGGUAUGCGAGUGAGAAUGCAGGCAUGAGUAGCGAAUGACAUGUGGGAAACAUGUCCUCCGGAUGACCAAGGGUUCCUGGGCUAGGCUAAUCCUCCCAGGGUGAGUCGGGUCCUAAGGCAAGGCCGACAGGCGUAGUCGAUGGAUAACGGGUUGAUAUUCCCGUACCCGUAUAAGCGCGCCCAUGGUGAAUCAGUGAUACUAACUGUCCAGAAGCUGCUGUUUUCUCUUUUUAAGGAGAUGGUUGUGGAUGCACAGGACCUGAUCUGGUAGUAGCCAAGCGAUGGGGUGACGCAGGAAGGUAGCUGUGCCAGGUAGUGGAUUGCCUGGUGUAAGCGUGUAGGGUGACAGGUUGGUAAAUCCGCUUGUUGUGUACCUGAGACGUGAUGCGUAGCCAUUGUGGUGAAGUUAGUGAUCCUAUGCUGCCGAGAAAAGCCUCUAGUGAGUUCUUAUGCGGCCCGUACCCUAAACCGACACAGGUGGUCAGGUAGAGAAUACUAAGGAGUUCGAGAGAACUGUGGUUAAGGAAUUCGGCAAAAUGCCCCCGUAACUUUGGAAGAAGGGGGACCGAUGUUGGUGAGCACUUUUUCGGUGUGAGCUGGUGUUGGUCGCAGAGACCAGAGAGAAGCGACUGUUUACCAAAAACACAGGUCCGUGCGAAGACGUAAGUCGAUGUAUACGGACUGACGCCUGCCCGGUGCUGGAAGGUUAAGAGGACUGGUUAGUGGCCCUUGUGGCUGCGAAGCUGAGAAUUUAAGCCCCAGUAAACGGCGGUGGUAACUAUAACCAUCCUAAGGUAGCGAAAUUCCUUGUCGGGUAAGUUCCGACCUGCACGAAUGGCGUAACGACUUCUCUACUGUCUCAACCACAGACUCGGCGAAAUUGCAUUACGAGUAAAGAUGCUCGUUACGCGCGGCAGGACGAAAAGACCCCGGGACCUUUACUAUAGCUUGGCAUUGGUGUUCGGUUUUGUUUGUGUAGGAUAGGUGGGAGACUGUGAAGCUCAUGCGCUAGUGUGGGUGGAGUCGUUGUUGAAAUACCACUCUGAUGAAAUUGGACUUCUAACCUCGGACCAUGAUCUGGUUUAGGGACAGUGCCUGGUGGGUAGUUUAACUGGGGCGGUUGCCUCCCAAAGAGUAACGGAGGCGCCCAAAGGUUCCCUCAGCCUGGUUGGCAAUCAGGUGUUGAGUGUAAGUGCACAAGGGAGCUUGACUGUGAGACUGACAAGUCGAACAGGGACGAAAGUCGGGACUAGUGAUCCGGCACCGGCUUGUGGAAGCGGUGUCGCUCAACGGAUAAAAGGUACCCCGGGGAUAACAGGCUGAUCUUCCCCAAGAGUCCAUA
Molecule: ribosomal RNA, 2048 nt
Filed under: Gadus morhua (Atlantic cod)
Lineage: Eukaryota; Metazoa; Chordata; Actinopteri; Gadiformes; Gadidae
Description: bacterial LSU rRNA
Rfam family: Bacterial large subunit ribosomal RNA
Source: RNAcentral